GUAGACGACUACAGCAAAAACCGCGUCCGCGUGUCCGAUCUGAUCGCCCCGGAGACGCAGCGGCUGCUCAGCGAGCCAGCCGCCGGGGAUCAGCGCGUUGCCCUCGGAGGAGAACAUGCGCUACUUCAACGUCAUGAUCUUUGGCCCGGCGCAGUCGCCCUAUGGAGGUGCCAACUUCUAAUCUAGAAUUUGGGCACCCUUUUUUAUGUUGCAUGGCAUGGAGUGGUGGCAUCAGAGCGCUUCUAGAUAACAAUCCUCGAAUUGAGACGAUUCUAGUUAAGAUGCCACUAGAAAUGGGGUGAAUUAUGAAAAUGUUUGCUUUAGUUUAUUCACACGUAGGUAAGCUUGUAUUGUUUGGUGGGCUGGUGGCUUUAGCCACUCAAUUUUGUUAUUCAUGAGUACCAUCUUUUCUUUUUAAUAUUCUAUUAAUGGUGUUAAAGGUGCAGGUAAUUUUAGUAAUGUUUACUCCAAUAUAAUAUGCGACAGUUACUGCUAA
This is a long non-coding RNA of Panicum virgatum (switchgrass), 496 nucleotides long. RefSeq lists it as uncharacterized. The transcript is spliced from 3 exons. Lineage: Eukaryota; Viridiplantae; Streptophyta; Magnoliopsida; Poales; Poaceae. The record is from RefSeq and is a predicted model, not a curated record.